GGUGUGUUCGACAUCGGCUGCGGCUGGAUGCAACCGAUCGGCGAGAGUAGCCGCGUGCAGGUGGGGAGGAGCUGAAAACGGAGAUAUGAAGCCGGACACGUUGUUGCUCCCGUAGUUUGCUGCAAUUACGUCAGUCAUGGCAGAUCACGUGGCGUUUGCUUACUUGAUCGCAGAUGAGCUGGAAGCAAUAGAAAAUCCAUUAUUUUUGCAAUACAUUGAGCACGAUGAGCAACGAAGAAUGGUUCCAAAAAUAGCCAAUUUUGUGGAGGAUGUUGUCCCUCUCUACAGUCUCUCAGAAUUUAGAAGUCAUUUCAGGCUUUCCAGAGAACAAGUGGAGGAUGUCAUCACUACCCUUGGUCCUGUGUAUAUGAAUUUACAACAGACCAAACUGCCACUCACGAACAGUGUUCUUGCCUGCCUUUGGACAUUGGUGAAUCAGGAGUCAUAUCGUGGGGUGGCAGAUAGAUUUAACAUGUCAAAAUCCACUCUUGCCAAGCAUCUCCAUGAGUUUUGUUACAAUAUUAACACAUACAUGGCCCACCACAUAUCCUGGCCCAGAGGUCAAAGGCUGGAGAUGUCAAAGUUAGGCUUUGACACAGCAGGUUUCCCCAACACUGUAUGUGCGGUAGAUGGGUGUCACAUUCCUAUAAUGAGACCCCACUGUGAUAAUCCCCUAGCAUACAUGAAUAGGAAACAGUUUUAUUCUGUAAAUUUAACUGGGUUUUGUGACAGUCAGCGGCGCUUCUGUCACAUUAGUGUGGGUCACCCUGGGAGUUGGCAUGAUGCCAGAGCAUUUCGCUUCACAGAAGUUUGUCGUGUUCUUGAAGAUCCUCAUUCACUUGUUCCACAGGGAAUGCACAUAAUUGGGGAUUCUGCCUACCCUUUGUUGCCUCAACUUAUGAGGCCUUAUAGAGACAAUGGCCACUUGUCUGCUAGGCAAAGAUAUUUUAACAGAAAGCUCAAUGCAGCUCGCGUGGUCAUUGAGCAUGCGUUUGGCAUUCUAAAAUCUAAGUUUAGGAGGCUCCAUUACCUGCAAAUGAGAAGCAUUUCUAAUAUCAGCUCAGCAGUCUCAGCCUGCUGCAUUUUGCAUAAUCUUUGUUUAGAGCCCAGUGAUCAAGUUGUUGUGGUAGGUGAUGGUGUUGAUGAUGAACCAUACCCCCAGCAACCCCACAACACUAAUGCAUGUCAUUAUAGAGACCAGAUUUGUGGCCAGAUCUAACUUGUGUGUAUACUUAACAUACAAAACAAAAGAUGAAAAGUAAAGAUUUGAAUGUUCAGAAAUAUUCAACAAAUGAGAAAACAAACAGAUUUUGUUGAAAUAAAGAAAUUUGUUUUAUUGAACAAAAUUAGUUUGUCAUUAGAAAUGUUUUUUUUUUUUGGGGGGGGGGGGGGGGACAAGGGACAUUUUGGGGAAAGGUGUAAAUCAAAAGAGUUAACAUCUAUAGAUUAUAAUUUUAUUGGGGUUCAUGUGGGUUCUGUAAUAGAUGCAUAAUUUGCGCUUGUCUUUUCCCCAUUUUUUUUAGCUCCUCCACAAUUGUUCCCAAGCUGGUCACCAUCUUUUUUUCAAAGGACCUUCUCCGCCUCUCCUUAAGUCGCCGCCAUCUCUCCAGAUCUGGCCUUACCAGGGACUCAAGCACAGCGGUCCUUCUCUCUGCAUGCUCUUCAUAAGAGUCCAGGAAUCGUAAGGGUUGUGGUCGCCUUUGCCGCCUUGUGAUGUUUGCAUUUUGUAUGGUUUCAGUUCCUGGCUGUUCAUCCAUACUAGCACCUACCAGCUGGUCUUGAAGAGAAGACGUUGUGGGCCUGCUUGUGGAAGAGGUCUCUUCCAAACCCAGAGGUGUGGAGUGAAUGGUGCCAGGUGGUGCAGUACCGAUCCCCGAUGACCCAAAUAACUCAUCCAUUAGCUGGUGGGGGUGGAUGUAAAAUGACCAAUGUUUCAGUCAUGUAACACAGGACAAUGUUAUUUCAGAAACAAAGUAAAUCAGUCUUCAACUUACUGUAUAGUACUCCCAGGUGAUCUUCCCUUCCCCAGUGGCACGACGCCGGUCUUUCACUCUCUUAUAAGUAGUUAACAUGUUUGCUAGUUUUUUUCGAAUUUUCUCACUUGACAAGUUGUAGCCCUUUAGUGAAAAUAAGUUUUGUAUUUUUUUAUAGAAUGCCAUUUUGUUCCGAAAAUAAAGGUGCUGAUGAGUUUUUGUAAGGUCCAGUAGAAAUAGUGUCAUUGUAUGUGUUAUGUCUGUAAAAUGGAGGGGAUAAGGAGAGAAAUAGAUCAACAAAGAAAAUUAUGUAAUUUAACAACAGUAUUGCCAUUUAUCUUCCUUACAGUAUUUGAUGCAAUACCUUGAGACUCGUGCCUGUCUGACUGGAAGGAAGGGGAUGAAGGUUGAAUGGAUGCUGAAGGGUUUCCACACGCUGCACCAGAUUGCAGAGUGGAAGGUGGUGGGUCCUUGACAGUGGAGCUGAUACUUUCUCCAUGACAGAGGAAAGGAACAUUUGAUCUGGGGGAAUAAGUGAUAAAUAAAAAACUUGCACAAAUCA
Carassius gibelio (silver crucian carp) is the source of this 2535-nucleotide RNA transcript. RefSeq lists it as uncharacterized. The transcript has 4 exons. NCBI's taxonomy places the organism in Eukaryota, Metazoa, Chordata, Actinopteri, Cypriniformes, Cyprinidae. The record is from RefSeq and is a predicted model, not a curated record.